Molecule: long non-coding RNA, 850 nt
Filed under: Cricetulus griseus (Chinese hamster)
Lineage: Eukaryota; Metazoa; Chordata; Mammalia; Rodentia; Cricetidae
Description: lncRNA (ENSCGRG00015033489.1)
Source: RNAcentral
AAAAACAUCAAAUCAAAAGCCAUGGUAUAGACACAAAGGGUCUGUAGGGUAAAAAGAGAAGAAGAAAUAUAUAUAAAUAAAAUUAAAUUUAAGUUUGAGUAAAAACUAGUUUUGACUGGCAUUUCCCUGAUGAGUAAGGAUGCUGAACGUUUCUCUAGUGCUUCUGUGUAUAUGUUUGUCUUAUCAGUUGUUGAAUAAAACACUGAUUGGCCAGGCAAGAUGAUAGGUAGGACUAGGAGACAAGGAGGAUUCUGGGAAAUGUAGGCAGAGAGGAGUCGUCACGUUGAUCCCAAGAAGUGAUGUAGCUGGGCAGAAACUGCCACUAGCUAACCAUAGAGGUCUGGAGGUCUGUAUAGACAGGCAGGAAGUGACGUAGCUGGUCAGGUCACCCUGAUAUAAUCAGGGACAAAUAGGAAAUCACUCUCUUCUCUGCAGACUUGCUGAGAAGUCGACAUGUAGAAUGGCAGAGGAGUAACAGGUCCCUGAAUCUUUCUCUGGAAAGAGAAGACCACGUGGGAAUACUUGGAUUAAUAAUGAUGGGUCUCAUCACCUCGGAAAGAUGCUGCAGGCUGUAACCACACGUGGAGAUCAGACACAUUACAGCUCUCCAUAGCAAGGCGUUCACAUGCAGAUUUUAGAGGAGCACAGUAUCUACUCCGUUUCGGAAAGAGAGCAUCAACUUCCUCCACUCCACACACUUUGCUCAAAGGACAUACUCAUAGAUUUGGAGUCCCAGUUGCUGUCUUCUAUCAGGGCAGGCUGAUUUUAUCAUUAAAGAAACCCUAAUCCCAUGUGAAAACAAGCACAAGACAGGCCACCUUCUGCCAGAAUGAUUGCUCACUUCAGCCUC